ACACGACCGUACCGCAAACCGACACUGGUGCGCGAGAUGAGUAUUCUCAGGCGCUUGAGAGAACUCGGGAGAAGGAACUCGGCAAAUUGACACCGUAACUUCGGAAGAAGGUGUGCCUUUAGUAGGUGAAGUCCCUCGCGGAUGGAGCCCAAUGAGGUUGCAAAGAAUCGGUGGCUGCGACUGUUUAAUAAAAACACAGCACUCUGCAAACACGAAAGUGGACGUAUAGGGUGUGACGCCUGCCCGGUGCUGGAAGAUUAAGUGAUGGGGUGCAAGCUCUUGAUCGAAGUCCCAGUAAACGGCGGCCGUAACGAUAACGGUCCUAAGGUAGCGAAAUUCCUUGUCGGGUAAGUUCCGACCUGCACGAAUGGCGUAACGAUGGCCACACUGUCUCCUCCCGAGACUCAGCGAAGUUGAAAUGUUUGUGAUGAUGCAAUCUCCCCGCGGAAAGACGGAAAGACCCCAUGAACCUUUACUGUAGCUUUGUAUUGGACUUUGAACGGAUCUGUGUAGGAUAGGUGGGAGGCUUUGAAGCCGGGUCGCUAGAUCUGGUGGAGCCAACGUUGAAAUACCACCCUGGUGCGUUUGAGGUUCUAACCUAGGCCCGUUAUCCGGGCCGGGGACAGUGCAUGGUAGGCAGUUUGACUGGGGCGGUCUCCUCCCAAAGCGUAACGGAGGAGUUCGAAGGUACGCUAGUUACGGUCGGACAUCGUGACGAUAGUGCAAUGGCAUAAGCGUGCUUAACUGCGAGACUGACAAGUCGAGCAGAUGCGAAAGCAGGACAUAGUGAUCCGGUGGUUCUGUAUGGAAGGGCCAUCGCUCAACGGAUAAAAGGUACUCUGGGGAUAACAGGCUGAUACCGCCCAAGAGUUCAUAUCGACGGCGGUGUUUGGCACCUCGAUGUCGGCUCAUCUCAUCCUGGGGCUGUAGCCGGUCCCAAGGGUAUGGCUGUUCGCCAUUUAAAGAGGUACGUGAGCUGGGUUUAAAACGUCGUGAGACAGUUUGGUCCCUAUCUUCCGUGGGCGCUGCAGAUUUGAGGAAGCCUGCUCCUAGUACGAGAGGACCGGAGUGGACGCACCUCUGGUGUACCUGUUGUCACGCCAGUGGCAUUGCAGGGUAGCUAAGUGCGGAAGAGAUAACCGCUGAAAGCAUCUAAGCGGGAAACUCGUUUCAAGAUGAGAUCUGCCGGGGCCUUGAGCCCCCUGAAGAGUCGUUCUAGACCAGGACGUUGAUAGGUCAGGUGUGGAAGCGCAGUAAUGCGUUAAGCUAACUGAUACUAAUUGCUCGUGCGGCUUGACC
Molecule: ribosomal RNA, 1299 nt
Filed under: metagenome
Description: bacterial LSU rRNA
Rfam family: Bacterial large subunit ribosomal RNA
Source: RNAcentral